This 73-nucleotide transfer RNA is filed under the name Canis lupus familiaris (dog). It matches the Rfam family "tRNA". From Rfam's summary of the family: Transfer RNA (tRNA) molecules are approximately 80 nucleotides in length. Their secondary structure includes four short double-helical elements and three loops (D, anti-codon, and T loops). Lineage: Eukaryota; Metazoa; Chordata; Mammalia; Carnivora; Canidae. The record is from Rfam by way of RNAcentral.
GCCUGGCUGGCUCGGUCAGUGGAGCAUGUGACUCUUGAUUUUGGGGUCAUGGGUUCAAGUCCCAUGUUGGGUA